AGACAACGAGAGAAGGAAAAAAGAAAAAAAAAAGUUGAAAUUUGUGGGGGAAAUUAUUUAUUUAGUAUGGCAAGAACACCGCUUAUUUAUCUCCCCGUCCCAACGAUUAGAAAACUUCAAGCUUUCUACCUAACAACAUACCCAAGAUUGUAAGCAUAUCUAAGGAGAUCGCCUAUCUCCGACAUGUCGAUUGCUCCAACGUCAUUGGCAUCAGCAAGUCUGAUUGCUUGAUGGGCCUGGAGCCCAGGUAACGUUGAACCAAGAUAUUGGAAAACUUUUCUGAUCUUCACUGCUAAGAAUAUUGUCUUGAUACAGGUCGAACUGCAUGAAAAUUCCCAUUAUUUGCUCUUCAGUUUAGCGAACAGGAGCAGCUUUUCUUACCAGCAACUCUUCUCUUGCUUCUCUAGUCUCCUUCGUAUCAUCAAUUUCACAAUCGAUAUGAAGAUCAAGGUUGCAGCUAUAACAUUUGCAGCUAAUGUACUUCCCAUGCAUUUAAGAAUGGUUGGUAAAAAUCCUAAUUUUAUUUGGGUGUGGAUCAGUAGGCAAUCAUUAAUUCGGGAAGA
Molecule: unclassified non-coding RNA, 563 nt
Filed under: Hevea brasiliensis (rubber tree)
Lineage: Eukaryota; Viridiplantae; Streptophyta; Magnoliopsida; Malpighiales; Euphorbiaceae
Source: RNAcentral